RNAcentral lists this ribosomal RNA (504 nucleotides) under uncultured fungus. RNAcentral describes it as "SSU rRNA". It matches the Rfam family "Eukaryotic small subunit ribosomal RNA", at positions 248 to 755 of the family's 1831-position model. The record is from RNAcentral. Lineage: Eukaryota; Fungi.
GAUUCAUAAUAACUUCUCGAAUCGCACGGCCUUGCGCCGGCGAUGGUUCAUUCAAAUUUCUGCCCUAUCAACUUUCGACGGCUGGGUCUUGGCCAGCCGUGGUGACAACGGGUAACGGAGGGUUAGGGCUCGACCCCGGAGAAGGAGCCUGAGAAACGGCUACUACAUCCAAGGAAGGCAGCAGGCGCGCAAAUUACCCAAUCCCGACACGGGGAGGUAGUGACAAUAAAUACUGAUACAGGGCUCUUUCGGGUCUUGUAAUUGGAAUGAGUACAAUUUAAAUCCCUUAACGAGGAACAAUUGGAGGGCAAGUCUGGUGCCAGCAGCCGCGGUAAUUCCAGCUCCAAUAGCGUAUAUUAAAGUUGUUGAGGUUAAAAAGCUCGUAGUUGAACCUUGGGCCUAGCCGGCCGGUCCGCCUCACCGCGUGCACUGGCUCGGCUGGGUCUUUCCUUCUGGAGAACCGCAUGCCCUUCACUGGGUGUGCCGGGGAACCAGGACUUUUAC